CAGAAUGCUGUGCAAAUCGCUGGCUUGUUUGUUUGGGGAUUUUUUUUUACCAUUUUGAAAUUUAGUGAACUCUCUGUGUGGGACCCUGUUCCCCAAGUUGUAUACAGAUAGUACAUAGUCUAUGUCCUUAUCAAUGCUCUCCCGAGGUGUUUUUACAGAAGCUGAUGCCUUUGCAGGUUUCAGGGGAAAGACAAGACUCAGGUGAUUUCCUCUGCCCUCCUGGAACAGAACAUUGCAGCGAGGCCACUCCCACCCAUCUUCAAGAAAGCAGUAAAUUCAGAAUAUCAAUAGGUCACAGAGAAUGCAGAUUGCAUCAUGCAAUGAAUGAACUUCUGGAUGGGGAACAGGUUUCCCCAAAGUCACAUUGGCAGGAAUAUUUCACCCCAUCUUUUUCUGUAGUAAAUGGGGCACCAGCUGGAAUUUCUGAGAUCCUUCUCACCUAAGGACUUUUUGCCACAUCAUGGGGAUUGAAUUUUCACAGAAAGUCACUGACCCGAAUUGUGGCCAGGAUGGAAAAUUACUACGCUGAAAGCCAACUCUUCUGUGACCCAAUAAACAGCAG
Molecule: long non-coding RNA, 562 nt
Organism: Myiozetetes cayanensis
Lineage: Eukaryota; Metazoa; Chordata; Aves; Passeriformes; Tyrannidae
Exons: 3
Source: RefSeq, a predicted model, not a curated record